Molecule: long non-coding RNA, 1879 nt
Filed under: Malus domestica (apple)
Lineage: Eukaryota; Viridiplantae; Streptophyta; Magnoliopsida; Rosales; Rosaceae
Description: long non-coding RNA (MDOM_LNC012028)
Source: RNAcentral
UGUCUUCCUCCACUUCUUCUACUUUGGGUCGAAACAUCUGAGUUGAGAGAAGUCUCAUGUUGAUCAAUGUUUUGAUGAUUAGCUCGCUCCUCAUCAGGGAUACCCAUGUCGAAGAGAGGUGACCCUCCGUGUUAGGGGGUCUCAUGUUGAUGUCCACAAGGGCAACGAGCUCGCGUGUUUGAGUACGCCUAGUUUCGUGGAGCGUCUCAAAGAGCUUCUCAUACUGCUCAUGGAGGACCUCAUUCUUCAUUGCUAUCUUGUUGUUCUGAGCUUCUAGCUCAUCGACUUUAGCUUGAAGAGCAACCCUCUUUCUUUCAUUCUUUCAUUGCUUCGUACUAGGUGCAAGAGGGGUGUCAUUUUGUGAUGUGGCUUCUUUCGUUCCCCAUGUUGGAGAGGAAUGCUUGGUCAAAAGAGAGUGUACGAAUGGUGGAAACCAUCUUGGCAAAGCUGAAGAGAGUGGGAAUAAGUGUCGUUCCCACAAACGGCGCCAAAUGUUGAUGCACAAAAUCGGAGGUCUUGGAACAACGUAAAUCCGACCGUGAAUCUGCAAGUAAUGUAAAUAACACAAGAUGUAUCGUGGUUCACCGCAAGGUUUGGGCUACGUCCACACUGAUUAUGUAUUUAUCUGAGAAAUGAGGGAGAGAGAUUCAGAGCCUCUGAGGGAGAGAGUGAGAUCUCUGAUGGCCUAGGAAUUGGUCUCCCCUAAUUGUGAGGGUAAUGAGCCCUUUUAUAGAAUAAGGGCUCCUCACUUAUUACAUAUUUGCCCUUUCCUUUAUUACAUAAUUACAUUUAAAUCCCUCGAGUAUUUGUACCAGAUCUAAAUACGGAGGCUUUAAAUAUGGUAUAAACAGUAGUCCCCCAAGUCUUUAGUAAAGAGAGUCUUUUGGCUGAAGACUUGAAAUUCAGUCCAUGUGUGGGCCGAAGUAACUAGAUGUUGUCUUGAACUGAUGGUCAAUAUGAGGCAGUGCUAAAAAUGAAAUGAUGCUCAAUUAUAAGUAACACAUGUUACGAGGCUGCUCGGCUUGUGGCUUAUAUUGCCGUAGUUGGCUCGGCUUGUGGCGCUUGAAAGUGAAAGGGUCCAUUUUAUAGAAUAAGGGCUCGCUCCUCAAUACAUAAAUGAUGGGCUAGAGUUGAUACUCGCGGCGAUGCGGUUGCUCAGUAGGCGGCAAUGCUCUUUAAUGGUGGUGAGGGAGUCCCUUUUAUAGAAUAAGGGCUCACUCCUCAAUACAUAAGUGAUGCGCUAAGUCCCCUAAGUAUUAUUCAUGAAUGCUCUCUAAUGAAAGUGAGGGAGUCCUUUUUAUAAGAUAAAGGCUCGCUCUUCAGUACAUAGAUAAUAGGCUAAGUCCCUCAAGUUUUUUUCAUGAGGCCCAGUUGAGGCCUAAUAUAUGGUACAUAAUGUAGUCCCCCAAGUCUUUGGUCAAUAAAGUAUGUUGGCUGGAGACUUCAAAUUGAAUCCAAGUAUGGACCAAAGUGGCGGUUGUUUGGAUGCGGUAUUUGUAUACCCUGCAUUGAAGCUUUGUAGGUGAAGCUUUGCAAGUGAAGCUUUGAAGCUAGGGCUCUGUAAAUGAAGCUUUCGAAGCUGGAGCUUUUGUAAACGAAGCUUUUGAAGCUAGAGCUCUGUAAAUGAAGCUUUCGAAGCUGGAGUUUUUAUAAAUGAAGCUUUUGAAGCUAGAGCUCUGUAAAUGAAGCUUUUGAAGUUGAUUGACAUGAGUGAUGCUCAUGAAUGUUUAUGUUGAUUGAUAUGAGUGAUGCUUAUGGAUGUUGUCAUGAGUGAUGCUCAUGAAUAUUUAUGUAUGAAUGACAUAAGUAAUGCUCAUGUAUAAUUUGGAGUACUGGGCGUACUUUUGAUCACCUGGUUGGUGGCAUGAAGGAGAGUACG